This 2769-nucleotide long non-coding RNA is filed under the name Callithrix jacchus (white-tufted-ear marmoset). Its description in RNAcentral is "lncRNA (ENSCJAG00000073483.1)". The record is from RNAcentral. Lineage: Eukaryota; Metazoa; Chordata; Mammalia; Primates; Cebidae.
AUGGAGUGUUACUCUGUUGCCCAGGCUGUAGUUCAUUGGCACAAUCUCAGCUCACUGCAAACUUUGCCUUUUGGAUUCAAGCUAUUUUCAUGCCUCAGUGUCCGAGGAGCUGGAAUUACAGGCAUGCACCACCACACCAGGCUAAUUUUUGUAUUUUUAGUAGAGAAGAUAUGUCUUUAUAACACUUGUCUUUCUGAAAACAGAAGAGAUACAGUCUUCAUUUAAAAGUGAUCCAUGAAGUGACAUCAGCAAGAUAAGCAACUAAACUGCCUGGCUUUUGUCCCCACCCCAAAAGGGACUAAAACAAUGAUUAAACAGCUACAUUUUGGCUGGAAUAUCUGAAGAAUUGUGCUGGAGAGUACCAAGGAAACAGUGAAACUCUUGUGGAGCACAGAAGCCCAGGAUAGUCAAUAAAGACGGGAGUGAGACAUCCUGCCUUUGCCAUAUUAUCUCCUUCACUAGGAUCAGAUUGGAGCCAGAGAGUACUCUUUUUAUGGAUAAAGGUGAGAUGAAUAUGUUUAGCAAUUGUCAGUACUGUCAUAGACACCAGCUGUUACUACUACAGAUGGGUCCCCAGUCUUCACAGACUCCGAAGUCUAGUGUGAAGAGUUAGUUGCCAAGAGUUCACACAAUUGCAUUUCCCCAGUGCAGGGACCCCCUUUAUACCUCCAAACCCUGAAACCUAAGUGGCUACAGCAUAGCUUCCUCUUGAAACUGUGAACUUUAUUUCUCAACUUAAGCUCCAUCAACUUCAAGAUACUAUUAUAAGUAAAAUGGUAACAGCCAUUUAGUCCACCCCUAAAGAACUGAGAUUACUAGGAAUUUAGUCAUUUUAAUAGUCUCUUUUACAUUAUUAACUGAAGAAUAUUGGGCUUUCUUAAAAUAUAUUUUUUAAAUUAGAGAACAAAAAUAAGUCAGAAAAAGCCAAAUUCAGACUGUAAGGUGAAUACCUAAUGAUUUCCUGUUGAAACAGUUUCAAAAUUGCCCUUGUUUGAUGAGAGGAUGAGCAAGAGCUUUGCUGUGGUGAUAAAGGACUCUCUUGUGAAAUUUUCCUGUUUUUUUUUUUUUUCUGCGAAGUUUUGGCUUACUUUCUCAAAACACUCUGAUAAUAAGCAGAUGUUACCAUCUUUGACCUUCCAGAAAGUUAACAAGCAAAAUGCCUUGAGCAUCCCAAAAAACUUGACCAUUGCUCUUGGCUAGGUCACUUGUUCUUCGACUGGCUUACUCCAACCUCCUGGCAGUUCUCAUUUUGCUUGUGCUUUGUCUUCAGGACUGCACUGUCCUGAUAUUUGAUCUUCUUUUAUGAUUCUUUGAAGAAAUGCUUUUCAGGAUCAUGAUUCCACAUACUUGAAAUGUUCAUUAGAAGCUCUGCUCUUGUCUGCAGCUAAUCUGGUGCAAUCGAUUUGGCACCCAUUGAGUAGAAAUUCUUCUUGUCAUUAAUAAGUUAGUCAGAACUGUGUAAGCUGAACCAAUGGUUAUGCCUGUGGUGUUGGUUAUGGUUUCUGCUGUUACUUGUUAAUCCUCCAAUUAGAACACUAAGAUUAUUUUUCCCAAAUUGUUGUUAAUGGACUGUCAUUGCAGGCUUCAUUCCUAACAUUGUCUUGUCUCUUAUUGAAGGUAUGGAGAUUAUGCCAAUUCCCUGAACUCAGUAGCUAAAAAAAUAAAACUGAAAUAGGCAGUAACUGAAAAAUAAAACCAACCUGAAAUUGCAAUCACCAAUAAAUUUUUUAUUCUUUUUCAUUUUCUCACUGAUUUUGUAAACUCUUCUUUGGAAACAUCAGCUAGCAUAUUCCUCCAAGUAUAGCUAUCCCACCUCCAGACUUAAAGGUAUGAACAAGCUCUGAGGCUGCUCAUAGUUUUAGGUUUGUCUUGUUUUAUAUUAUGUGUGGAAACUCUGUUUCUAUAAAUCACAGAAAUCCUUUUAUGCAUUUAGUGCCUCUUGAUAAUAAUCAGUAUUUCUACACAUCACAGAUAAGAAUCACCAACUAUUCCUAAUGGUGGUGUGUAGAUUAAGAAUCACACACUGUCUGGGUCCAGGACUGCAUUGUCUGCUGAACCAGAUAGAGAAAAUUCUAAGACUACAUGACAAUGUCAUUUAUAAUGUUUUCUAAAUAACAUUUUUCUACUGAAGAUUUGGGCAUUGCUUAUUGCUUAGGAAACAUAAUUUGUAUGGUGAAACAUAUAUGUGUUCAAAGUCUUGGUUAUUUCUUACUUAGCCUCAUAAGUUAUCUGGCAACAUAGUGUAGUCAGGUCUCUUAGCCUUGUUGCUUAUCAAUAUCCUGGGGUGUAAACUGGAUAUAUGAUGAAUAUAUUUCUCUCAGAAUUGUUGGAUAGAAACAAAUGUGAUUAUGUUUAUAAGUACAUUUUAUAAAAUAUUUUACCAUACAUAUGAAAGAAAAUAUUUUAAUUUAAAUGUGUGAAAUUACUUUCUCUUGUUAACAAUGGAUUCCUUUCUAGUUAUCAAAGAGAAAUGCUGUACUCUAUUUCUCAAAAAAUUUUCUGAACACUUUUUCAAAGUUCAGAAAAACAAUGAUCUUUUUCUCAAUCAAUAAAUGUGUCACACCUUUUUAAUUCAUGUCUUUCUGCUUUUCAGUCUCUUGAAUAUAUACGAGUAUUUUUUAGGUCUUUUGUUUUGUUUUGUUUGGGUUUUUUUCUUUGUAAGAAAGCAAUCAACCCAGUUUGCCUAAGGCAGCAUUCUUUGUUUUAUUUAAUUAAACACUUUAGAGCCAAAAACUUCUUGAACAUAUUCAGUAAAAUCCAAAGUUCAGG